UCAUUGGAUGUGUUACGCCGAAGUGCGGC
This 29-nucleotide small RNA is filed under the name Bombyx mori (domestic silkworm). RNAcentral describes it as "piRNA piR-bmo-1280825". The record is from RNAcentral. Lineage: Eukaryota; Metazoa; Arthropoda; Insecta; Lepidoptera; Bombycidae.